RNAcentral lists this ribosomal RNA (447 nucleotides) under uncultured bacterium. Its description in RNAcentral is "partial 16S ribosomal RNA". It matches the Rfam family "Bacterial small subunit ribosomal RNA", at positions 29 to 523 of the family's 1533-position model. The record is from RNAcentral.
AACGAACGCUGGCGGCAGGCUUAACACAUGCAAGUCGAACGCCCCGCAAGGGGAGUGGCAGACGGGUGAGUAACGCGUGGGAAUCUACCCAUCCCUACGGAACAACUCCGGGAAACUGGAGCUAAUACCGUAUACGCCCUUCGGGGGAAAGAUUUAUCGGGGAUGGAUGAGCCCGCGUUGGAUUAGCUAGUUGGUGGGGUAAAGGCCUACCAAGGCGACGAUCCAUAGCUGGUCUGAGAGGAUGAUCAGCCACAUUGGGACUGAGACACGGCCCAAACUCCUACGGGAGGCAGCAGUGGGGAAUAUUGGACAAUGGGCGCAAGCCUGAUCCAACCAUGCCGCGUGAGUGAUGAAGGCCUUAGGGUUGUAAAGCUCUUUCACCGAUGAAGAUAAUGACGGUAGUCGGAGAAGAAGCCCCGGCUAACUUCGUGCCAGCCGCCGCGGUAA